Molecule: ribosomal RNA, 253 nt
Filed under: uncultured bacterium
Lineage: Bacteria
Description: partial 16S ribosomal RNA
Rfam family: Bacterial small subunit ribosomal RNA
Source: RNAcentral
UACAGAGGUCUCAAGCGUUGUUCGGAUUCAUUGGGCGUAAGGGGUGCGUAGGCGGCGCGGUAAGUCGGAUGUGAAAUCUCGGAGCUUAACUUCGAAACUGCAUUCGAUACUGCCGUGCUUGAGGACUGGAGAGGAGACUGGAAUUUACGGUGUAGCGGUGAAAUGCGUAGAUAUCGUAAGGAAGACCAGUGGCGAAGGCGGGUCUCUGGACAGUUCCUGACGCUGAGGCACGAAGGUCAGGGGAGCAAACGGG